This 247-nucleotide ribosomal RNA is filed under the name uncultured bacterium. Its description in RNAcentral is "partial 16S ribosomal RNA". It matches the Rfam family "Bacterial small subunit ribosomal RNA", at positions 524 to 769 of the family's 1533-position model. The record is from RNAcentral.
UACGAAGGGAGCUAGCGUUGUUCGGAAUCACUGGGCGUAAAGCGCACGUAGGCGGAUGUGUCAGUCAGGGGUGAAAUCCCGGAGCUCAACUUCGGAACUGCCUUUGAUACAGCACGUCUUGAGUCCGGAAGAGGUGGGUGGAAUUCCUAGUGUAGAGGUGAAAUUCGUAGAUAUUAGGAAGAACACCGGUGGCGAAGGCGGCCCACUGGUCCGGUACUGGACGCUGAGGUGCGAAAGCGUGGGGAGC